This 296-nucleotide ribosomal RNA is filed under the name Aconophora n. sp. CPL-2004. RNAcentral's name for it is "partial 12S small subunit ribosomal RNA". Lineage: Eukaryota; Metazoa; Arthropoda; Insecta; Hemiptera; Membracidae. The record is from RNAcentral.
UUAGAAAAAAAGUAGUUAUAGUCUUCAUAACUCAAAGAAUUUGGCGGUUAAUAAAAGUUUUUAGAGGAAUCUGUAUUAUAAUUGAUAUUCCACGAUAGUCUUUACCUAUUUUUUAUUUGUAUAUCUCUAUGGUUAAUAGAUUGUUUUUAGAAAAAUUUUCUUAUUGUUUAUUCACAUAUUUUAGGUCAAGGUGCAGUUUUAAAUAGGUAAAUGUGGGUUACUAUUUUUAAAAAUCAUUAUGAUAUAAUGAGAAAGGAUUUAAAAGUAAAUUUAAUUAAUUCAUUAAAUUGAAUAUU